Molecule: ribosomal RNA, 253 nt
Filed under: uncultured bacterium
Lineage: Bacteria
Description: partial 16S ribosomal RNA
Rfam family: Bacterial small subunit ribosomal RNA
Source: RNAcentral
UACGUAGGGCGCGAGCGUUGUCCGGAAUUAUUGGGCGUAAAGAGCUCGUAGGUGGCUUGUUGCGUCUGCCGUGAAAGCCCGUGGCUUAACUACGGGUCUGCGGUGGAUACGGGCAGGCUAGAGGCUGGUAGGGGCAAGCGGAAUUCCUGGUGUAGCGGUGAAAUGCGCAGAUAUCAGGAGGAACACCGGUGGCGAAGGCGGCUUGCUGGGCCAGUUCUGACGCUGAGGAGCGAAAGCGCGGGGAGCGAACAGG